CAGUAGCCGCGGUAAUACAGAGGGUGCGAGCGUUAAUCGGAUUUACUGGGCGUAAAGCGUGCGUAGGCGGCUUUUUAAGUCGGAUGUGAAAUCCCUGAGCUUAACUUAGGAAUUGCAUUCGAUACUGGGAAGCUAGAGUAUGGGAGAGGAUGGUAGAAUUCCAGGUGUAGCGGUGAAAUGCGUAGAGAUCUGGAGGAAUACCGAUGGCGAAGGCAGCCAUCUGGCCUAAUACUGACGCUGAGGUACGAAAGCAUGGGGAGCAAACAGGAUUAGAGACCCGCGUAGUCCCUGUCUCUUAUAA
Molecule: ribosomal RNA, 301 nt
Filed under: uncultured bacterium
Lineage: Bacteria
Description: partial 16S ribosomal RNA
Rfam family: Bacterial small subunit ribosomal RNA
Source: RNAcentral